AAUUUAAAGUCUAGCCUGCCCUAUGAAAAAUUUUAAAUGGCCGCAGUAUUUUAACUGUGCAAAGGUAGCAUAAUCAUUAGUUUUUUAAUUGAAAGCUUGUAUGAAAGGUUGGACGAAAUAAUAACUGUCUAUAAUUAAGAUAAUUUAAUUUAAUUUUUAAGUUAAAAAGCUUAAAUAAAAUUAAAAGACGAGAAGACCCUAUAGAUCUUUAUUAAUAUUAUAUUUUAUUUUUUUAAAGAAAAAUUGUAUAUAAAAUUUAAUUUUAAUUAAAUUGGGGUAAUUUAAAGAUUUAAUAAAUUCUUUUAUUAAUAAACAUAAAUUAAUGAAUGUAAUAUCCAUUUUUAAUGAAUUAAGAUUAAGUUACCUUAGGGAUAACAGCGUAAUUUUUUUAGAGAGUUCAUAUCGAUAAAAGAGUUUGCGACCUCGAUGUUGGAUUAAAAGUAAUUUUAGGUGAAGAAGUUUAAAAUUUUAGUCUGUUCGACUAUUAAAUUUUU
Molecule: ribosomal RNA, 494 nt
Filed under: Philaccolilus mekus
Lineage: Eukaryota; Metazoa; Arthropoda; Insecta; Coleoptera; Dytiscidae
Description: partial 16S ribosomal RNA
Rfam family: Bacterial large subunit ribosomal RNA (bases 371-494)
Source: RNAcentral